UCUCAUUCUUCAAAAUGAACUGAACCCACAGCGCAGGAACCAUUGCUUUUCGUUCCAAAAACAGAACUUCACUUUUUCGUGCCGUUCUCUUCAAAGUUUGGAACGCGUUCUGUGAACCGCCUGUAGCCAGAGGCUCUCUAUGGCAACUGUUUAGCUUUAAUAAAUACACUGAGGAAAAAGAAUGUAAGAUUUUCAUAAGUCUACAUCUUAUGUGCUGCCUGAUUUGAGUAUCCACUAGCCUCUCGCGAUUUUCAUAGACAAUCUUUAGACCGUCACUAUAAAUUCAUAUGGUUAUAACUAAACUUUACUUAUGUAUUUGGUCCACUGUUGAUAGACUAUGAACUUCAUAAGAAAUUCUUAUGGAAUUCAUCUGUAAUUGUUCAAUGGUUUUCGCGUAAGAUGCUAGCGUGAAUUUUUUUGACAUUUCAAGAUGGCGAAAGGACGGAUCGAGCAGACAAUUUUGAACGCUCGCGACUCCAAAUCGCCCCGUAAUUCGUUACGGUAACUACUUCGCAAAGCUGCCGCCGCCGCUAUGAGUUUCUGAUCGGACGAAUAAAUUUUCUUAAUUACCGCGACCUCCAAGACUCAGGUAACAUCAAUGGCUGUUGGUUCCGCCGGCGGCCCUCCUGAGCAUCCUCCAGAAUGAUUCGGAGAGAAGCAUCGGUGAGGACAGUUCCGAGCAGCGGUCGGUCGGUUGAUUGACGCGGUUAUGCCGAAGGUGUUGGCCAUCCGGCAGAACAUGCCGAAUCUCCAGCAAAAGACGAUUAAACCGGAGGCAGUAUAAACCAACGGGACGACGAGCACCGGAGGAACAGUGGAGCAGUGGGAAAAACAUCUCCUCGAAGCAAAAAUGAAAUGAAGUUUUGGUUAUAUUAUGAUAAUUCAAAAAUAUACACGUUUAAAAUUUAAAUAAACAUUUGUUUUCAUUCAAUUAGAAAUAAGAAAAAAAUUAGAAUAAAAAACAACGUAUGUUAAUAUGAUCUCCAUGAGCAUUGCCAUAUAUUCUUUACACAAUUCCAUCUAUGAAUGUCAUAAGAUAACUCAAUGGAAAUCUUAAUUGACGGCUUUGUCAAAUUUCCCCUCCCAGCCAUAAGAAAAUCUUAUGACAUCCGAAUAAAAUCCUGAUGUCGAAAGGUCAUAAGACGUUCUUAUGGAUUUUGCCAGUACUUUUUUCUGAGUGUAUUCAGUGAAAC
Long non-coding RNA from Culex pipiens pallens (northern house mosquito), 1193 nucleotides. RefSeq lists it as uncharacterized. The record is from RefSeq and is a predicted model, not a curated record. Lineage: Eukaryota; Metazoa; Arthropoda; Insecta; Diptera; Culicidae. The transcript is spliced from 2 exons.